Molecule: ribosomal RNA, 492 nt
Filed under: uncultured bacterium
Lineage: Bacteria
Description: partial 16S ribosomal RNA
Rfam family: Bacterial small subunit ribosomal RNA
Source: RNAcentral
AGUGAACGCUGGCGGUAGGCCUAACACAUGCAAGUCGAACGGCAGCACAGUAAGAGCUUGCUCUUACGGGUGGCGAGUGGCGGACGGGUGAGGAAUACAUCGGAAUCUACUUUUUCGUGGGGGAUAACGUAGGGAAACUUACGCUAAUACCGCAUACGACCUACGGGUGAGAGCAGGGGAUCUUCGGACCUUGCGCGAUUGAAUGAGCCGAUGUCGGAUUAGCUAGUUGGCGGGGUAAAGGCCCACCAAGGCGACGAUCCGUAGCUGGUCUGAGAGGAUGAACCGCCCAACUGGAAAUGGGGAACGGUCCCGACUCCUACGGGAGGCAGCAGUGGGGAAUAUUGGACAAUGGGGGCAAGCCUUAUCCAGCCAUACCGCGUGGGGGAAGAAGGCCUUCCGGUUGUAAAGCCCCUUUGUUGGGAAAGAAAAGCAGCCGGUUAAUAACCCGGUGUUUUGACGGUACCCAAAGAAUAAGCCACGGCUAACUUCGUG